GACGAACGCUGGCGGCGUGCUUAACACAUGCAAGUCGAACGAAGAGCGAUGGAAGCUUGCUUCUAUCAAUCUUAGUGGCGAACGGGUGAGUAACGCGUAAUCAACCUGCCCUUCAGAGGGGGACAACAGUUGGAAACGACUGCUAAUACCGCAUACGAUCUAAUCUCGGCAUCGAGGAUAGAUGAAAGGUGGCCUCUACAUGUAAGCUAUCACUGAAGGAGGGGAUUGCGUCUGAUUAGCUAGUUGGAGGGGUAACGGCCCACCAAGGCGAUGAUCAGUAGCCGGUCUGAGAGGAUGAACGGCCACAUUGGGACUGAGACACGGCCCAGACUCCUACGGGAGGCAGCAGUGGGGAAUCUUCCGCAAUGGACGAAAGCCUGACGGAGCAACGCCGCGUGAGUGAUGACGGCCUUCGGGUUGUAAAGCUCUGUUAAUCGGGACGAAAGGCCUUCUUGCGAAUAGUGAGAAGGAUUGACG
Molecule: ribosomal RNA, 477 nt
Filed under: Veillonella parvula
Lineage: Bacteria; Bacillati; Bacillota; Negativicutes; Veillonellales; Veillonellaceae
Description: bacterial SSU rRNA
Rfam family: Bacterial small subunit ribosomal RNA
Source: RNAcentral